Molecule: long non-coding RNA, 703 nt
Organism: Papaver somniferum (opium poppy)
Lineage: Eukaryota; Viridiplantae; Streptophyta; Magnoliopsida; Ranunculales; Papaveraceae
Exons: 3
Source: RefSeq, a predicted model, not a curated record
UUCUUCUUUUGGUAAAGAGGGCGAUUCUCUUGUGAAGAAGUUAUUUCCGGUUGGUUUGGAUAUGCUCAUGCGUACCAGGGCAUUAAAAUUUAUUUUUGGAAAUGAAAAGCUUUAUUCUAUCAAGUUUGGAAAGGUCUGGGCGGUGAUCAAUCGGACAAUUGCUACGCCAUUCGCCAGUUUUACAGUUGACUCAAGAGACACUAGGUUUGGUACUUCUUGCCGGUUCUAACUUCGAUACCAUCUGCAAGUCUCAUUGUCGAUUCAAGACAUACCAGAAGACGCUAUAAGGGCAUCAUUCUCAAUCGCCAAGAUGACGAAUUUCCUAUCCCAUGCCAGCCAUCUUAACACUUUUCUCACUAUUAAUAGAAGGGAUCGGGACCAUAUUUUGAUAGUUUUAUCACGAGUGAAGACGUUCAACUUCCACAACUUGCUUGUGGCGACAUACAUACUGCCAGCAUUAGAAGAUAGCUCAUUGGGUACCGAUGAAGAAUGAAAAAUUUCCAUGAGGUUGAAGAAUUAUAUUUGUAAUUUUACAUUUCUAGUUAACUUUAAAAUUGUUAUAGCUUUUUAGGAAUUUCGUGUUGCACUCUUUUCCUUAGUCAAGGUUUUACCAUUAUGGGUUUUCUUUGGCAGGGUUUUUAACGAGGCAAAUGUGUGUCAUAUUUUCUUCCAAGUCUUUAAUUUACUUUAUACGUAUUUCUUA